UACGUAGGGGGCUAGCGUUGUCCGGAAUCAUUGGGCGUAAAGCGCGCGUAGGCGGCCCGGUAAGUCCGUUGUGAAAGUCAAAGGCUCAACCUUUGAAAGCCGAUGGAUACUGCCGGGCUAGAGUCCGGAAGAGGCGAGUGGAAUUCCUGGUGUAGCGGUGGAAUGCGCAGAUAUCAGGAGGAACACCAAUGGCGAAGGCAGCUCGCUGGGACGGUACUGACGCUGAGGCGCGAAAGCAUGGGGAGCAAACAGG
Molecule: ribosomal RNA, 253 nt
Filed under: uncultured bacterium
Lineage: Bacteria
Description: partial 16S ribosomal RNA
Rfam family: Bacterial small subunit ribosomal RNA
Source: RNAcentral